This 350-nucleotide ribosomal RNA is filed under the name uncultured bacterium. Its description in RNAcentral is "bacterial SSU rRNA". It matches the Rfam family "Bacterial small subunit ribosomal RNA", at positions 355 to 697 of the family's 1533-position model. The record is from RNAcentral.
UAGGGAAUAUUGGACAAUGGGGGAAACCCUGAUCCAGGCAUGCCGCGUGUGUGAAGAAGGCCUUAGGGUUGUAAAGCACUUUAAGUGAGGAAGAAAAGAUUUGAAUUAAUACUUUAAGUCCCUGACAUUACUCACAGAAUAAGGACCGGCUAACUCCGUGCCAGCAGCCGCGGUAAUACGGAGGGUCCAAGCGUUAAUCGGAAUUACUGGGCGUAAAGCGCGCGUAGAUGGUUUAUUCAGUUGGGUGUGAAAUCCCUGGGCUCAACCUAGGAACUGCAUUCAAAACUUAUAAACUAGAGUACGAAAGAGGAGAGUAGAAUUCAUGGUGUAGCGGUGAAAUGCGUAGAGAU